GACGAACGCUGGCGGCGCGCCUAACACAUGCAAGUCGAACGAGCGAGAGAGAGCUUGCUUUCUCGAGCGAGUGGCGAACGGGUGAGUAACGCGUGAGGAACCUGCCUCAAAGAGGGGGACAACAGUUGGAAACGACUGCUAAUACCGCAUAAGCCCACGGGUCGGCAUCGACCAGAGGGAAAAGGAGCAAUCCGCUUUGAGAUGGCCUCGCGUCCGAUUAGCUAGUUGGUGAGGUAAUGGCCCACCAAGGCGACGAUCGGUAGCCGGACUGAGAGGUUGAACGGCCACAUUGGGACUGAGACACGGCCCAGACUCCUACGGGAGGCAGCAGUGGGGAAUAUUGCACAAUGGGGGGAACCCUGAUGCAGCGACGCCGCGUGGAGGAAGAAGGUCUUCGGAUUGUAAACUCCUGUUGUUGGGGAAGAUAAUGACGGUACCCAACAAGGAAGUGACGGCUAACUACGUGCCAGCAGCCGCGGUAAAACGUAGGUCACAAGCGUUGUCCGGAAUUACUGGGUGUAAAGGGAGCGCAGGCGGGAAGACAAGUUGGAAGUGAAAUCUAUGGGCUCAACCCAUAAACUGCUUUCAAAACUGUUUUUCUUGAGUAGUGCAGAGGUAGGCGGAAUUCCCGGUGUAGCGGUGGAAUGCGUAGAUAUCGGGAGGAACACCAGUGGCGAAGGCGGCCUACUGGGCACCAACUGACGCUGAGGCUCGAAAGUGUGGGUAGCAAACAGGAUUAGAUACCCUGGUAGUCCACACCGUAAACGAUGAUUACUAGGUGUUGGAGGAUUGACCCCUUCAGUGCCGCAGUUAACACAAUAAGUAAUCCACCUGGGGAGUACGACCGCAAGGUUGAAACUCAAAGGAAUUGACGGGGGCCCGCACAAGCAGUGGAGUAUGUGGUUUAAUUUGACGCAACGCGAAGAACCUUACCAAGUCUUGACAUCCCUUGACAGACAUAGAAAUAUGUAAUCUCUUCGGAGCAAGGAGACAGGUGGUGCAUGGUUGUCGUCAGCUCGUGUCGUGAGAUGUUGGGUUAAGUCCCGCAACGAGCGCAACCCUUAUGGUCAGUUACUACGCAAGAGGACUCUGGCCAGACUGCCGUUGACAAAACGGAGGAAGGUGGGGAUGACGUCAAAUCAUCAUGCCCUUUAUGACUUGGGCUACACACGUACUACAAUGGCGUUAAACAAAGAGAAGCAAGACCGCGAGGUGGAGCAAAACUCAGAAACAACGUCCCAGUUCGGACUGCAGGCUGCAACUCGCCUGCACGAAGUCGGAAUUGCUAGUAAUCGUGGAUCAGCAUGCCACGGUGAAUAAAAGGCCGGGCCUUGCACUCUCCGCCCGUCAAGGGCGC
RNAcentral lists this ribosomal RNA (1357 nucleotides) under uncultured bacterium. Its description in RNAcentral is "bacterial SSU rRNA". It matches the Rfam family "Bacterial small subunit ribosomal RNA", at positions 28 to 1406 of the family's 1533-position model. The record is from RNAcentral.